This 106-nucleotide ribosomal RNA is filed under the name uncultured bacterium. RNAcentral describes it as "partial 16S ribosomal RNA". It matches the Rfam family "Bacterial small subunit ribosomal RNA", at positions 1377 to 1482 of the family's 1533-position model. The record is from RNAcentral.
AGCCUUGUAUACACCGCCCGUCAAGCCACGAAAGCUGGGAGUACCCGAAGUCGUGUACCCAACCGCAAGGGGGGAAGCGCCGACGGUAAGCUCAGUGAUUGGGACU